This 468-nucleotide ribosomal RNA is filed under the name uncultured bacterium. RNAcentral describes it as "partial 16S ribosomal RNA". It matches the Rfam family "Bacterial small subunit ribosomal RNA", at positions 28 to 507 of the family's 1533-position model. The record is from RNAcentral.
GACGAACGCUGGCGGCGUGCUUUACACAUGCAAGUCGAACGGAAAGGCCCUGCUUUUGUGGGGUGCUCGAGUGGCGAACGGGUGAGUAACACGUGAGUAACCUGCCCUUGACUUUGGGAUAACUUCAGGAAACUGGGGCUAAUACCGGAUAGGAGCUCCUGCUGCAUGGUGGGGGUUGGAAAGUUUCGGCGGUUGGGGAUGGACUCGCGGCUUAUCAGCUUGUUGGUGGGGUAGUGGCUUACCAAGGCUUUGACGGGUAGCCGGCCUGAGAGGGUGACCGGCCACAUUGGGACUGAGAUACGGCCCAGACUCCUACGGGAGGCAGCAGUGGGGAAUAUUGCACAAUGGGCGGAAGCCUGAUGCAGCAACGCCGCGUGCGGGAUGACGGCCUUCGGGUUGUAAACCGCUUUCGCCUGUGACGAAGCGUGGGUGACGGUAAUGGGUAAAGAAGCACCGGCUAACUACGUG